CAACCCUCAGGCCCCCCUUCGCGGGCGGGCCUGGUGUUGGGGCCCGGCCGCUACCCUGCGGCCGUCCCCUAAAUUCAGUGGCGGCCUCGCCGUGAUCCCUUGCGUAGUAAUGCACCUCGCACCGGAGAGCGCCGUGGCCACGCCGUAAAACCCCCAAUUUUCAAU
This 165-nucleotide unclassified non-coding RNA is filed under the name uncultured Neonectria. RNAcentral's name for it is "sequence contains ITS2". Lineage: Eukaryota; Fungi; Ascomycota; Sordariomycetes; Hypocreales; Nectriaceae. The record is from RNAcentral.